RNAcentral lists this ribosomal RNA (467 nucleotides) under uncultured bacterium. RNAcentral's name for it is "partial 16S ribosomal RNA". It matches the Rfam family "Bacterial small subunit ribosomal RNA", at positions 28 to 507 of the family's 1533-position model. The record is from RNAcentral.
GACGAACGCUGGCGGCGUGCCUAACACAUGCAAGUCGAACGGAAAGGCCUCUUUCGGGGGGUACUCGAGUGGCGAACGGGUGAGUAACACGUGAGUAACCUGCCCUUGACUUUGGGAUAACUUCAGGAAACUGGGGCUAAUACCGGAUAGGAGCUCCUGCUGCAUGGUGGGGGUUGGAAAGUUUCGGCGGUUGGGGAUGGACUCGCGGCUUAUCAGCUUGUUGGUGGGGUAGUGGCUUACCAAGGCUUUGACGGGUAGCCGGCCUGAGAGGGUGACCGGCCACAUUGGGACUGAGAUACGGCCCAGACUCCUACGGGAGGCAGCAGUGGGGAAUAUUGCACAAUGGGUGGAAGCCUGAUGCAGCAACGCCGGGUGCGGGAUGACGGCCUUCGGGUUGUAAACCGCUUUCGCUCAUGACGAAGCUUUGUGUGACGGUAGUGGGUAAAGAAGCACCGGCUAACUACGUG